UACGUAGGGUGCAAGCGUUAAUCGGAAUUACUGGGCGUAAAGCGUGCGCAGGCGGCUUUGCAAGACAGAUGUGAAAUCCCCGGGCUUAACCUGGGAACUGCAUUUGUGACUGCAUGGCUGGAGUGCGGCAGAGGGGGAUGGAAUUCCGCGUGUAGCAGUGAAAUGCGUAGAGAUGUGGAGGAACACCGAUGGCGAAGGCAGCCCCCUGGGUCAACACUGACGCUCAUGCACGAAAGCGUGGGGAGCAAACAGG
This 253-nucleotide ribosomal RNA is filed under the name uncultured bacterium. RNAcentral describes it as "partial 16S ribosomal RNA". It matches the Rfam family "Bacterial small subunit ribosomal RNA", at positions 524 to 776 of the family's 1533-position model. The record is from RNAcentral.